This is a long non-coding RNA of Humulus lupulus (European hop), 383 nucleotides long. RefSeq lists it as uncharacterized. The record is from RefSeq and is a predicted model, not a curated record. NCBI's taxonomy places the organism in Eukaryota, Viridiplantae, Streptophyta, Magnoliopsida, Rosales, Cannabaceae. The transcript has 3 exons.
GAUGGGAGUGAUGAGUAUGAUGAUAAAGGGAAAUGCCGUAAUACAUUUCAGACUGCUGGAUACUUAAAGGACUUGUCCAGCAGCUUAGAGGAUGCUGUGGACGUCCAUGACAGUUUAGCUGCUGAAGCUGAACAUGGUGAUGCUUCCAGAAAGGAAAGGUCCUCAGUUCAAGGUGUAGAACAGGUCUAUAUUGAGAUGCAUUUCUUUGGCGUAAUACUAGACAACAUUGACAGUUGAAGUUUUUAGAAUGAAAAUUAUAUUUCACUAACAUUGUAUACAUUUCUUGUUUAAUAUUUGGUGAUGAUAUAAUUUGAUUGUAGUAUAAACUGUCAUGUAAUAUGAUUUUGUAACCCGAGUAGACUAAAUACUGAAAUGAUAUUUUU